UACGAAGGGGGCUAGCGUUGUUCGGAAUUACUGGGCGUAAAGCGCACGUAGGCGGGCUGUUAAGUCAGGGGUGAAAUCCUGGAGCUCAACUCCAGAACUGCCUUUGAUACUGGCAACCUAGAGACUGGAAGAGGUUAGUGGAAUUCCCAGUGUAGAGGUGAAAUUCGUAGAUAUUGGGAAGAACACCAGUGGCGAAGGCGGCUAACUGGUCCAGCACUGACGCUGAGGUGCGAAAGCGUGGGGAGCAAACAGG
RNAcentral lists this ribosomal RNA (253 nucleotides) under uncultured bacterium. Its description in RNAcentral is "partial 16S ribosomal RNA". It matches the Rfam family "Bacterial small subunit ribosomal RNA", at positions 524 to 776 of the family's 1533-position model. The record is from RNAcentral.